Molecule: long non-coding RNA, 1303 nt
Organism: Octopus bimaculoides (California two-spot octopus)
Lineage: Eukaryota; Metazoa; Mollusca; Cephalopoda; Octopoda; Octopodidae
Source: RefSeq, a predicted model, not a curated record
CAAAGGCAUCAUAGUACUUCUUGUAGUCACCUGCAGCACGAAUGGCUGAAAUACCAGGUGUUCUCUAUGAAAAGAAGGGAAAUAAUAGUAGUAUUAUAAUGAUAUACUAAAAUAUAAGCAAGUUUCAAGUGCAGAAGAGUCUCUAUACAGUCACUUGGCCUGUUAAAAAUAGCAGCUUAAUCUCUCUCAGUUCACACUACUGCUUUACAAAGAUAUAUAACUCAAUUGUGUUACAGAAAUGAGAUCCAAUUUUAAAUAACAAUGGAAGGAGUUUAUUUAUAAGUGAUUCACCAACCAGAACAAAGACUGAUAUGAUAUUUAGCAAUUGGAAGGGUACAUGCUCAAUUAAUGGCGAGCUUUGUUCUGGUUGCCCAGUUGCCCAGGACGUUUUGAACAUAUGAUCUGAAUAUAGAAAACUUUAAUAUUUUAUCGCAUAAAAUUGAUUUCUUUUGCAUAAAAGCUUUUACUUUUUGUUAGCAUAAGUUAUUUGUUAGCAUAACUUACUUAAUGCUUUGCAAAAUUGUUUAAUCUGUUUUGACUGAAAGGAGGCAUUUUUUUCUUUCGCAAUGAAAACAUACUUACAAUGCCAACAGUAAACUUCACUAGUCUCUUUACAAUAAAAGGAUAUUUCAAUACAUUGUUAAUUGAAGGACGCUCACUGGAAUUCAAAGAAAGUACAAUAAAAUUAACAUUUCAAAAAAUAAUUUAAUAUUUAAUAAACAAACAGGAAUGUGAUACCAGAGAAUCAAAAGACCUAAUGUGCAGCAAUGUAAAAGUGCAAACAAUAUACAAUACAUUUAAUUCAAUGCUCUCUCACAUUUGUCACCUUCCCUGCUUUAAAUGACUUUAAAAAUGGAGAAGAUAUUUUACUUACAUUGCUGAGCGUUUCAGCAUCACAGAAAUUAAGUCCCUGAGAUUGGAUGAAUACUUUGCAGGGACUGGUGGAUAUCUGCCACUGUAAGUGAACACAAUAAAAUUUUUAAAAACUGUGCCUAGAGUUAAAUUUAAUUAUAAUUAAGCAAAAUACACUUAGAAUAAUACGUCUGUGCAAGCACUAUUGAACAGAUCGUGUCCGCACUGUAUAUUCAGUUUCAUCAUCAUCAUUGUUUAACGUCCGCUUUUCAUGCUAGCAUGGGUUGGACGAUUUGACUGAGGACUGGUGAAACCGGAUGGCAACACCAGGCUCAAAUCUGAUUUGGCAGAGUUUCUAUAGCUGGAUGCCCUUCCUAACGCCAACCACUCAGAGAGUGUAGUGGGUGCUUUUAUGUGCCACCGGCACGAAGGCCAGUCAGGAGGUACUGGC